AUGUGUUCACUGACCUCGACGAUACAACAUUAUCACAGGCCGUAGAUAAGUAUGAGUAUGAACUUGAAGAUAGUGACACGGUAGCUACUGACAUUGGAAUAUUUGAUACCAAGGAAUUAACUCAGCCAAUUGUUGUAAAUGAACUGAAUGGUAAUGUGAAAAACAUGUGAAAGGCUGCAGGAUUCGAGGGAAAUUACAUAAACCAUUCCGGAAAGAGGACCUGCGCUACUUCCCUUUACCAAGCAGGUUUUGAUGAACAACUCAUUAUGGACAGAACGGUACAUCGCAGCAGGGCUGUACGUGCAUACAAGGUGAAGAAAGAAGACAGAAAA
Pecten maximus is the source of this 332-nucleotide long non-coding RNA. RefSeq lists it as uncharacterized. Lineage: Eukaryota; Metazoa; Mollusca; Bivalvia; Pectinida; Pectinidae. The record is from RefSeq and is a predicted model, not a curated record. The transcript has 2 exons.